Molecule: ribosomal RNA, 671 nt
Filed under: Pantoea sp. EECC-602
Lineage: Bacteria; Pseudomonadati; Pseudomonadota; Gammaproteobacteria; Enterobacterales; Erwiniaceae
Description: bacterial SSU rRNA
Rfam family: Bacterial small subunit ribosomal RNA
Source: RNAcentral
UGGCGGACGGGUGAGUAAUGUCUGGGAAACUGCCCGAUGGAGGGGGAUAACUACUGGAAACGGUAGCUAAUACCGCAUAACGUCUUCGGACCAAAGUGGGGGACCUUCGGGCCUCACACCAUCGGAUGUGCCCAGAUGGGAUUAGCUAGUAGGUGGGGUAAUGGCUCACCUAGGCGACGAUCCCUAGCUGGUCUGAGAGGAUGACCAGCCACACUGGAACUGAGACACGGUCCAGACUCCUACGGGAGGCAGCAGUGGGGAAUAUUGCACAAUGGGCGCAAGCCUGAUGCAGCCAUGCCGCGUGUAUGAAGAAGGCCUUCGGGUUGUAAAGUACUUUCAGUGGGGAGGAAGGCGAUGCGGUUAAUAACCGUGUCGAUUGACGUUACCCGCAGAAGAAGCACCGGCUAACUCCGUGCCAGCAGCCGCGGUAAUACGGAGGGUGCAAGCGUUAAUCGGAAUUACUGGGCGUAAAGCGCACGCAGGCGGUCUGUCAAGUCGGAUGUGAAAUCCCCGGGCUCAACCUGGGAACUGCAUUCGAAACUGGCAGGCUAGAGUCUUGUAGAGGGGGGUAGAAUUCCAGGUGUAGCGGUGAAAUGCGUAGAGAUCUGGAGGAAUACCGGUGGCGAAGGCGGCCCCCUGGACAAAGACUGACGCUCAGGUGCGAAAGCGUG